GAUCAUGGCUCAGGAUGAACGCUAGCUACAGGCUUAACACACGCAAGUCGAGGGGAAACGACAUCGAAAGCUUGCUUUUGAUGGGCGUCGACCGGCGCACGGGUGAGUAACGCGUAUCCAACCUGCCCACCACUUGGGGGAUAACCUUGCGAAAGUAAGACUAAUACCCAAUGACGUCUCUAGAAGACAUCUGAAGGAGAUUAAAGAUUUAUCGGUGAUGGAUGGGGAUGCGUCUGAUUAG
RNAcentral lists this ribosomal RNA (241 nucleotides) under uncultured bacterium. RNAcentral's name for it is "partial 16S ribosomal RNA". It matches the Rfam family "Bacterial small subunit ribosomal RNA", at positions 15 to 244 of the family's 1533-position model. The record is from RNAcentral.